GACGAACGCUGGCGGCGCGCCUAACACAUGCAAGUCGAACGAGCGAGAGAGAGCUUGCUUUCUCGAGCGAGUGGCGAACGGGUGAGUAACGCGUGAGGAACCUGCCUCAAAGAGGGGGACAACAGUUGGAAACGACUGCUAAUACCGCAUAAGCCCACGGCUCGGCAUCGAGCAGAGGGAAAAGGAGCAAUCCGCUUUGAGAUGGCCUCGCGUCCGAUUAGCUAGUUGGUGAGGUAACGGCCCACCAAGGCAACGAUCGGUAGCCGGACUGAGAGGUUGAACGGCCACAUUGGGACUGAGACACGGCCCAGACUCCUGCGGGAGGCAGCAGUGGGGAAUAUUGCACAAUGGGGGAAACCCUGAUGCAGCGACGCCGCGUGGAGGAAGAAGGUCUUCGGAUUGUAAACUCCUGUUGUUGGGGAAGAUAAUGACGGUACCCAACAAGGAAGUGACGGCUAACUACGUGCCAGCAGCCGCGGUAAAACGUAGGUCACAAGCGUUGUCCGGAAUUACUGGGUGUAAAGGGAGCGCAGGCGGGAAGACAAGUUGGAAGUGAAAUCUAUGGGCUCAACCCAUAAACUGCUUUCAAAACUGUUUUUCUUGAGUAGUGCAGAGGUAGGCGGAAUUCCCGGUGUAGCGGUGGAAUGCGUAGAUAUCGGGAGGAACACCAGUGGCGGAGGCGGCCUACUGGGCACCAACUGACGCUGAGGCUCGAAAGUGUGGGUAGCAAACAGGAUUAGAUACCCUGGUAGUCCACACCGUAAACGAUGAUUACUAGGUGUUGGAGGAUUGACCCCUUCAGUGCCGCAGUUAACACAAUAAGUAAUCCACCUGGGGAGUACGACCGCAAGGUUGAAACUCAAAGGAAUUGACGGGGGCCCGCACAAGCAGUGGAGUAUGUGGUUUAAUUCGACGCAACGCGAAGAACCUUACCAAGUCUUGACAUCCCUUGACAGGCAUAGAAAUAUGUUUUCUCUUCGGAGCAAGGAGACAGGUGGUGCAUGGUUGUCGUCAGCUCGUGUCGUGAGAUGUUGGGUUAAGUCCCGCAGCGAGCGCAACCCUUAUGGUCAGUUACUACGCAAGAGGACUCUGGCCAGACUGCCGUUGACAAAACGGAGGAAGGUGGGGAUGACGUCAAAUCAUCAUGCCCUUUAUGACUUGGGCUACACACGUACUACAAUGGCGUUAAACAAAGAGAAGCAAGACCGCGAGGUGGAGCAAAACUCAGAAACAACGUCCCAGUUCGGACUGCAGGCUGCAACUCGCCUGCACGAAGUCGGAAUUGCUAGUAAUCGUGGAUCAGCAUGCCACGGUGAAUACGUUCCCGGGCCU
Molecule: ribosomal RNA, 1332 nt
Filed under: uncultured bacterium
Lineage: Bacteria
Description: bacterial SSU rRNA
Rfam family: Bacterial small subunit ribosomal RNA
Source: RNAcentral